RNAcentral lists this long non-coding RNA (3417 nucleotides) under Panax ginseng (ginseng). RNAcentral's name for it is "long non-coding RNA (PGIN_LNC006695)". The record is from RNAcentral. Lineage: Eukaryota; Viridiplantae; Streptophyta; Magnoliopsida; Apiales; Araliaceae.
GCAUUUUGCCAUAGUCCCUAAUUUCCAUUCCCGAGUCCUCUCCUCUCGAGUCUCGACUCUCAGUUUCGCUCUCACCUCUCUCCGACUCUAUCUCAGUAUCUCACAUCACAUCCUCUCCGCCUCUCUCCGUCUUAGUCUCCGCCUCUCAGCCUCUCAUGGCCUUACCCUUCAUUCGGCCUUAGCAAAUCGCAGCCUCCGCGUCUCGGUGGGUAUUCGACAGUUCUCUUGUAAACUAUUUGGUACUAAAAGUUUUAACCUCUGUUUUUUUGUCUCUAGCUUCGAUUUAGUACUAAUAUAUUUAUGUUGAUUUUGAUUAAAUGUUUAAUUGUUAGACUAAGAUUAGUUUUUUCAAGUUUUCUAUUGUUUGUGGACAUAUGAAGUUAAAAGCCUAAUAUAUUUGUUUUUCCUUCCUGAAAAUCAAUUUGGAUGGUGGUAACAUGAUAACAUCUAUCACCUGAAACUAUAACCUUGAUUCCUUGAAUUGAGACUUUCCUUUGUCAAUAUGUGAAUUUGUUUAUCAAGAUGACCCAAGUACCCAACUGUUCUGCUAUGGGAUAUUUUAACAAUUAGCCUUAUAUAAGUGCUUACUUGUGUGAUAUUCUAGCUUUUGAUGUUAAGAUUUCAGUAAAUCAAUUUGGGGUUUUUGGUUCUAUUUCCAUAGAUGUUCAGAAAAGUCUUAGCUUCCCCCUAAUGCGGAAUUAAAGAGACAAAUUUGGAACUACACUUGCAAGAAUUUGUACAAUUUAAUACACAGAAGAAUCUUAGAAAUGAUCUUAGAUUGUGAUGAAUUGCAACAUAGGAUCUUAUUAUAACUGGCCUCAGAUUCUUUAUGGCUUUGUACAUUACUUUGAGCCAAGUUUUUUUAUAACUUUUGGCUUUGUGAACUUAUUGGGAUAUCUAAGAUGAUACAUACACUGACUCAAUGGAUAAAUGAUUUAUUUAUGCAGUUACGGGGAUUUCUCUUGCUUGCUUGUGUUGCAUGUAGUUGUUGCUCGUUGUUGUUGCUGUUCAUGUUGUUGUUACAAUGAUCUUUAAUUUUGCUUGUUCAUGUUACUGUUGCACUGCUGGCUGCUUGCUGCUAGCUGCUGAAAAGCCUGCAAUUUGUUGCUCAUGUUCAUGUUGCUGCUAGUUGUUGUUGCAUGUUGGAUGUUGCUAGAUUAUAAUUAGACUUUGUUAAGUCAUAAAUUUUGUGAAGGACAGUUAAUUUGCUGCUGCACUGCUGUUGUAUUGUUAAUUUUAAACAAUUAAACUUUGUGAAGGACAGUUAAGGUUAUGAAUUGUCUACUGUCUAGUAUUGCCAAUUUUAAAAGGUUCUUAUUUUGAUUGAUAAAUGAUAACAUGGAGCACAGGUUUGAUUAUUACUCGAAUAUCCGAAUGUACAAUUCAGUAUUCGGUAAUUCGGUUAGUGACAAAUUUCGAUUAGUGUUUCGGAUAAUACAAUUAUGAAUAAUUCGGUAUUCGGUUAGAACUGAAUAGUUUAUUCGGUUCGGUUAUAACCGAAUGAUUACUCUUAUGUUUGACAGUAAUCAACUUAUAAGUCAUUUGCCACUAUUCCUCUGUUUGGCAAUGACUUAUUUUACUACUUAUAAGUUCAUUUAUAAGUCAAAAAAAAUAAACAAAUAUUUGUAACUUAUUUUAAAAUGACUUAUAAGUCAUUUUAAAAUAAGUUAGUUUGACCAAAUGUAAUGUCUAUUUUGUCUCUCUUUUUAUUAAUGUAAAAGUAAUCUUUACAUUUGAUUUUAAGUUAUAAGUCAUUAUGAGCCGAACACUUUCAUAACUUAUUUUAACUUAAUUUCUGACUUAUAAGUCAAAUUAAUGCGCAUUUAUUUAUAAGUCCUAACUUAAAAUAAUAUAUAAGUCAACUUAUAUUUUAGUUUAAGUCGUUGCCGAACGAGCUCUUAGACGAAGAAAGCAUACCCAAAUUCUCUUCCAAUCCCACCUAAUUCCUUCCCAUUCACAAAAUGAAGAGAAUCCCAGUUUCUUUUCCCUCCACAAACCCACCAUUUUCCUUUUCCUUUCUUUUUUUCCUAUUUAUCUAUCUAUUGAUACUUUGGAUUUUGCCUAUGGCUCCCAAGCCUUCACCAAAAAUAUCAUGCACUACCUUCAAAAUCAUAACCAACAAAAUAUCUCUCUCACUAACCCCAUUGUUGGUCUAGACCCCAAGAAACAACGCAACCACUGGACUCAUCGGAGAAUAUGGGACAACAUGCAUAGUAACUCUAGCAUUUUUAUAAUUUGUACAAGAAAUACUCCCACUAACACAUAAUAAAAGUUAAAGUUGACCCUACCUCCAUCCACGAUAUCAUUCUGAUGCACAGUGUAAAUAUCUUAAUCUUAAAUUUAAUUAAGACCAAAUCUUCUGUUCAAAAUGUAUAAACAAAAAAAGAAAUAUUGUCUCUUUAUUUUAUAAGAAAGUAAAUCUUUUGGUUUUAAAUGUGAGAUGACUCUUUAGGUCGCGUCUCAAGAUCCUCCUAAUAACAUUAUCGGCUGAUAUCGAGUGCUGGAGUUGUCGAGGAUACCAACUUAUACUCUACCUUAUAAUAUUUUAGUAUAUUUCUCGUUUAUGAAUAAAGUGAAAUAUAAUAUUAUUCAUGUUAUAUUUAUUUUUGAAGGCUUUAGUCAACGUUUGCGUUCGAGAGCACCCGUGGUAUGGUGGGGGUGCUGGCUUAGACGACGUUAUGUUCCAGAGGGUUAUGGCGGCGGUGUCAGAACAUAUUUGGUACAGAUCCGUUAUUCCGUCAUCAGGACCUUCCCAACUGUGUUUACCUCCAUUAGCUUGCUCAAGACAUUGCAGCUAGUGCCACUGCCGAGAGUACGGGUAUCUUUCCGGAGCAGUUCACCGCAAUACACGACGAGGUGGUUCGGAUGGUGAUUACCUUACUCAUGAACGCUUUUGGGCCGAUGCUGAGUUAGCCCUUAACUACUCAGGUAUACUAUUCGUUUUAAAUUCAAGUAUUCUGCAUGUUAUUUAAUUUUCAUUUAGUUGUAUGUUUAAUUGUGUCAUAUGGACUAAUGAGUUACAUUAUAUUGUAUCAACAGGGUGACGCUCCCGAGCGGGCUGGCGAUGCCCCUCAGGUUGCUCACUCCGAUCACGACGUCAACAAUUUUCAUACGCAGCGUCGACGCCCGCUCGAUGAUCCUCCUCACACCGGGGGUAGUAAUACUGGCAUGACUUAGUUUUGUAGAUGAUUAUUACAUAUUUUAUUCAUCUUUACUUUAGUUUAGCUUAAUUGGAAGCUUUAAUUUUUGUAGUUUAGUUGAUAUUUGAUAUAUUGUAGUUUAAACCUUGUAAUUACAUGUCAUUUUUGUAUAUCUUAUGAAAAAUUAGAGUAUUUUCAUUAUUGUUGGAGGUGUAAUUCAUAUUGGACUUAUAUGUGAACAAAAGCCAGUUAUUAUUAUAUAUAUAUGUUUUUGGAA